CCGUGGCCCAGAACCCCUGCAGGUGCCGUCUGCCUGCCAGGCCGCCCUGUGGGUGAUUCACAACCUAUCACACCUGGCGGGAACGCCCCAGCGGGCCCACCUGCAUCCCGGGAGCUGGCCAGGCUGAGCUCGCCGCCCACGGGGUCCUACCAAGCUCAGCGGGCAGAGGGAUCACCAGGGGAGAGUGGGAGCUGUUGUGCGGAGCCCUGGCCACCCAGGUCCGUGGGGGACGGCAGUGCUGGGCCUUCAUUCCAGCAGCCUGAGGCUCGGGACGUUUUGACCCCCAGCGAAAUCGGGUUCAGCUGCCAGAGACCUUCAGCACACAGGCAGGGUCCCUGAGGCUGCAGGGAGCCUGGCGUCUCUGCUGGCUCGCCGCAGAGGUGUGGGCCCAGGGCCUGCUGUGUGGGCCGGUGGCGAGGGUGCUGGGAAGGCAGCCCGGGCGCUCUGGGACGGGGCCCCAGAACAGGGCUCUGACAGCCGCCUGCAGGCCACCAGCUGGCCACGAAGACAGAAAGCAGAGCAAACCUCCAACGGCCACCUGGAGAGGAUCCCACUCGGAAAUCACCUCCUCAGGGAAGGCCUCCCAGAUUUCCCGGACCAGCUCGGGUCCCUGUUACACAGAACACCUCAGGCUGCCCUUUUAAUCACCAGGCAAGUGACAGAGGAGCUGUGAGUUGUGCUCUCAGCCAGAAGGCAGCUCCGAGAGCGAGGAGGCCCCUCUGCCCAGGCCGCACUGCGUCCCGGCACCUGGACCAGCGUCCACUCGGACGAGGGGUGCACGCGUUACUGCUCUCAGGACCGCACGUGCAGGGAAGACAGCUGAGAGGUCAACCAAGGCCACUGGAGCUGAGCCCACGGGACAGGAGGAACAGGGUGUGGAGUCUCAAGGCUGCCUUUUGCAGGAAACGAGUCUGGUAACACUUCUCGGUCACUCUACUCGGAGAGGCCCGAGGUCCAGAAUCCAGAGGAUGAAGGCUCCUACCGCAGACACCCCGGUGACAAGGAGGAUCGCCGCCACCCAGUAGCUGCCGCUCUCCGCCAGCUGCAGAGCAC
Artibeus jamaicensis (Jamaican fruit-eating bat) is the source of this 1053-nucleotide long non-coding RNA. RefSeq lists it as uncharacterized. The record is from RefSeq and is a predicted model, not a curated record. The transcript has 5 exons. Lineage: Eukaryota; Metazoa; Chordata; Mammalia; Chiroptera; Phyllostomidae.